GCAUUCGUAGCUCAGCUGGAUAGAGCAACCGCCUCCUAAGCGGUAGGUCGGGGGUUCAAAUCCCUUCGAGUGCGCCA
Molecule: transfer RNA, 77 nt
Filed under: Acidaminobacter sp. JC074
Lineage: Bacteria; Bacillati; Bacillota; Clostridia; Peptostreptococcales; Acidaminobacteraceae
Description: tRNA-Arg
Rfam family: tRNA
About the family: Transfer RNA (tRNA) molecules are approximately 80 nucleotides in length. Their secondary structure includes four short double-helical elements and three loops (D, anti-codon, and T loops).
Source: RNAcentral